Molecule: transfer RNA, 66 nt
Filed under: Boreus elegans
Lineage: Eukaryota; Metazoa; Arthropoda; Insecta; Mecoptera; Boreidae
Description: tRNA-Tyr
Source: RNAcentral
GGUAAAAUGGCUGAGAAUAGGUAGUAAAUUGUAAAUUUAUUUAUAGGGUUAAACCCCUUUUUAUCA